This 397-nucleotide ribosomal RNA is filed under the name uncultured bacterium. RNAcentral describes it as "partial 16S ribosomal RNA". It matches the Rfam family "Bacterial small subunit ribosomal RNA", at positions 523 to 918 of the family's 1533-position model. The record is from RNAcentral.
AUACGUAGGGGGCGAGCGUUGUCCGGAAUGAUUGGGCGUAAAGGGCGCGUAGGCGGCCCGGUAAGUCUGGAGUGAAAGUCCUGUUUUUAAGAUGGGAAUUGCUUUGGAUACUGUCGGGCUUGAGUGCAGGAGAGGUAGGUGGAAUUUCCAGUGUUGCGGUGAAAGGCGUAGAGAUUGGGAGGAACACCAGUGGCGAAGGCGACUUACUGGACUGUAACUGACGCUGAGGCGCGAAAGUGUGGGGAGCAAACAGGAUUAGAUACCCUGGUAGUCCACACUGUAAACGAUGAAUGCUAGGUGUAGGGGGUAUCGACCCCUUCUGUGCCGCAGUCAACACAAUAAGCAUUCCGCCUGGGGAGUACGGCCGCAAGGUUGAAACUCAAAGGAAUUGACGGGG